Danio rerio (zebrafish) is the source of this 269-nucleotide non-coding RNA. The record is from RefSeq and is a predicted model, not a curated record. Lineage: Eukaryota; Metazoa; Chordata; Actinopteri; Cypriniformes; Danionidae.
UUCAGUGUUCGCAAGGGAAUGCAGAGAUGAUUGAGAGAAAAAAACAAGAUUUGUAUCUGUGAGUGAAAUCUGCACACGAGUGCCCCCUGGAGUUUUCCUGGCUUUUCGCUUUGAUUUUGAAUGAUUUCCUUGAUGUUCUAUUGAAGUCAGUUGCUGAAUGUGAUCUGCUCUGCAUUCAAAUUAAUUGAAGUGUGAACUCUUUUCUGGAUUUGGAUUGUCUCAACUUCCAUCGGUGCGUGUCUAAUUGUGGAGUUGGACUGUCGAGCCUC